AUGAAAAGAGGAGGAUGGUCUAACCCCCCGUCGGGAUUUGUUAAACUUAACAUUGAUGCUUCUUUUGACCACGACCUUCUCAGGGGUACGAUCGGGGCGGUCUUAAGAGAUGACAAAGGUAGGUUCAUCGGUGGGGGAAAUGGUAAGAUUGACUGGUGUGCAGAUGUGUUGAUAGCUGAAGCUUUGGCGUUAAAAUUUGGCCUAUCACUUGCGCAAAGGACGGGUUGUAAUCGCAUAAUUAUUAACUCGGAUAAUAUGGAGGUGAUCGAGACCAUGAACGAAGGAGGACGAUCGUCGGGGGCAGCUGCUGCAAUUUUUGAUGACUGUUUUCACUUAGCUUGCGAUUUUCCUAUUUCUAGAUUCGAGCAUUGUAAUAGAGAAGCAAAUAAAGUUGCUCAUGAACUUGCCAAGUUGGCUAGAUUUUCAUUCAUUUCUGAUUGGCUCGAGGAACCACAUAAUGCAAUUGUACCAAUCCUCAUAAACGAUGUAAUGAUUAUUUCUAAUGAAUAA
RNAcentral lists this ribosomal RNA (510 nucleotides) under Triticum aestivum (bread wheat). Its description in RNAcentral is "partial small subunit ribosomal RNA". The record is from RNAcentral. Lineage: Eukaryota; Viridiplantae; Streptophyta; Magnoliopsida; Poales; Poaceae.